Ricinus communis (castor bean) is the source of this 1708-nucleotide long non-coding RNA. RefSeq lists it as uncharacterized. Lineage: Eukaryota; Viridiplantae; Streptophyta; Magnoliopsida; Malpighiales; Euphorbiaceae. The record is from RefSeq and is a predicted model, not a curated record. The transcript has 2 exons.
UAUGCAUACAGAAGCUCUCUAGAAAAGUUAAAAAUUUAUAACCGGAACUCAGAGUGACAGUUUCGAAACCGUUAGCUCCGAUUCAGGUCUUAAGAACUUAUAACUGAAAUGCAGACCUUCAUAAACAGUCUUUUUUUUUAUUCAAAACCUCAAAAUUAUUGAUCGAUUUUGGAUUCGAAUAUAAAUUAUGUUUAGAUGUAAAGCAGCUGAGUUCGAUUAAGUCGAUUGAUGUGCUGUAAGAGAAACAAAACAAGCAAUUUAAUUUCUUACAUGUUCAACCUCAUUCAGUGUUUGAUGAAUUAACUAGGGUAUUUAACAUGCUUUCUGAUUACUGGGGUAUUUUGCAAUUAUGUCUGUUCUGUUUGCGAUGUGCUAUUUAAAUUAUUCUUGUCCUAAAGAUUGAAAUGCUGUGUUUUCCUGUGUGUUCGAGACAUGCCACCACACCACUGUGCUUUCAUGCUUCCAAAUGCUCUCUGUUUGUCUUUUAGGUUAUGAGAAGAAGAACGAAAUUGGUGCAUCAGGUUUUAGACAAAGAACGACGGAGGAAGGUAGGUAUGUUGGUUUGCCAGUCGGCAUAUGUAUCCUGCAUUAACAAUUUGAGGUCAAUUUUAAGAUCUUGUUUCUUGAGUCAUCCUAAUGAGUGCUUAUUGCAAUCUUUCUUUCAACUCUUCCCAUUACAGAAUCCAUUGCUGCUGUGACAUAUCCCAUUAAUGGCAAACUCUAGAAUUAUGCGUAGUUUAGUAUUCUAAUAAAUAAAGAUAGAGUAGCGGAGUUUCAUGAUGAAAUUGGUGAGUUUGACCUGAUGAGAGCAAAUUUGAAAACAGAAGAAACCACAUAUUGGUGCCGACAGGGUUGAGAAGUCCACCAAUCUUCCUAAGGUAGCAUUUUGGCUUCUGCAGCAUAAGGUUAAUUAUUUAGCAUUAUUAUGAUGGCUGCUUGUGAUACGUUAAGGUCUUUACCGACUAUGCAUAAAUCCAUGCACGUACAUUUCAGGCACAAAUCUGAUUUCUUUGUUUCUUUUUUUAACUCAAGAAGGAGAGUGUACCAAUGUUGACAGCAAAUUCGAUCUGUCCUAACAUCAAUAUUAUCCUGCAUUAAUGAAGCCGAACACCAUCAGGGGGACAAUCAAAGGAGUGACAGCCAUUGCAAAUCAAGCAUCUUGAAGAUCUCGAGGAAAAGGCUAAACUUUGGUUGUCCACUUCAAGGAAAAUAGCUCUGAAACUCUUAUGCCAUGCAAGAUAUAAUCCAUGAAGAACUCCCCAAGUCUCAGCAGCAAGAACACUGCAUAUACCAAUGUUGACAGCAAAGCCAGCCUCCCAAGCUCCAAAGUGAGAUCUGAUAAUGGCUCCAGCCCCAGCCCGACUAUUACAAAACUUCACAGAGCCAUUAGUAUUAAGCCUCACCUAACAUUCAGGCGGAUGGCUCCAACCAAUUAAUCUUUCGACGCGCACACCAGCCCCAUUCCUGUUUGCAUGCAUGCAGGGCUGUCUACGAAAAAUAUGCAUUGCUCCUUUUAAUUUUUAAGUUUUAAUUCUCAUUUAUAUUCCAAGCCAAUACAAAUAUUAACAUUUUGUCCCUCUCAAUUUGGCAUUAUGGCUUCGCCGCCGGUAAUAUGUAAGUAAACUAUUGUAGGUUUCUGCAUUUAAGAAGGGCUGUCUAUGAAAAAGAUUCUGCCGCUGUAGCAAAGGCAGAUAAUUUUUAUAGUGAA